GCGGCCCGUGCGAGUGCGCCCUUCUCGGGUCCCCUAGGUCGCGGGGCAGCCGGGGCGGAAGGGGCUUGUUCAUUAUUUUGAGAGUUUGUUGUGAACGUCAUAACCUUUCGUCCUUAAAUAUUGCCGAUACUUGACCUACGCAAGAGACAAUGUCAUGUGAUUCAGCCUAAUAUCUCAGAGGAUGCAGCAUUCAAGGUUCUAUCUUGGAAGCAGAGACUGUGCCCUCACCAGAUGCUGAACCUGCUGAGCACCCUGAUCUUCCACUUCACCUUCAUCAGAACUGUCUUUGAGGAAUUGUCACACUGUCUUCUGCAAUGGAUGAACUAAUUUACACUCUCAACAACAGUGUAUAAGCAUUCCUUUUGCUCUGCAACCUCACCAGACAUCUGGACGCGCAUGAAAUUUGGUGCCGUGACUCGGAUCGGCGGACCUCCCUUAGGAGAUCAAUCCCCUGUCCUCCUGCUCUUUGCUCCAUGAGAAAGAUCCACCUACGACCUAAGGUCCUCAGACCAACCAGCCCAAGAAACAUCUCACCAAUUUCAAAUCCGAAAUCCUUCAUCUAAUCUGGCAAACACAUGUGGCAGGUUUUUCUCACCGCAUAAAAUAUGUUAUAGAGUAGUCCAUCUAUUUCUCUUCCAUGGAAGAGUUCAUCUGGUAGAUUGGACUACCACUUUUCCUUGUGGAGACCUAUUCUGUUGGGUUAGAGAUGACAGAAAAUCUUAUUUGUCGGUUGGUUUGUUUGUUCAAGAAUACACUGACCUUCUACAAGAAAGGAGAGCUCUUUGACACCUGGAAAUUUUACAGAAGCUUGGGACAGCUCUGAAUGGCAACACGGUCCUGAGAUAUGUGAUUACCUGGGACUUUCAUUGGACCUGCAUUUCAGCUCUACUCUCCUCACUGCCCUAUGCUGCUUUGACCCUAAAAGUGAAGCCAGCUUGGCCAGGUGCAGUGACUCACACCUGUAAUCCCAGCACUUUGGGAGGCCGAGGUGGGCAAAUCAAGAAGUCAGGAAAUCGAGACCACCCUGGCCAACAUUGUGAAACACCAUCUCUACUAAAACACAAAAAAAUUAGCCAGGUGUGGUGGCACGCACCUGUAGUCCCAGCUACUCGGGAGGCUGAGGCAGGGGAAUCACUUGAACCCGUGAGGAGGAAAUUGCAGCGAGCCAAGAUCGCGCCACUGCACCCCAGCCUGGGCGACAGAGAGAGACUCCAUCUCAAAAACAAAACAAAACAAAACAAAAAAAACAAAAA
This 1253-nucleotide long non-coding RNA is filed under the name Homo sapiens (human). RNAcentral describes it as "long intergenic non-protein coding RNA 882". Lineage: Eukaryota; Metazoa; Chordata; Mammalia; Primates; Hominidae. The record is from RNAcentral.